UACGAAGGGGGCUAGCGUUGCUCGGAAUCACUGGGCGUAAAGCGCACGUAGGCGGCUUUUUAAGUCAGGGGUGAAAUCCUGGAGCUUAAUUCCAGAACUGCCUUUGAUACUGAAGAGCUAGAGUCCGGAAGAGGUGAGUGGAACUGCGAGUGUAGAGGUGAAAUUCGUAGAUAUUCGCAAGAACACCAGUGGCGAAGGCGGCUCACUGGUCCGGUACUGACGCUGAGGUGCGAAAGCGUGGGGAGCAAACAGG
RNAcentral lists this ribosomal RNA (253 nucleotides) under uncultured bacterium. RNAcentral's name for it is "partial 16S ribosomal RNA". It matches the Rfam family "Bacterial small subunit ribosomal RNA", at positions 524 to 776 of the family's 1533-position model. The record is from RNAcentral.